RNAcentral lists this long non-coding RNA (393 nucleotides) under Peromyscus maniculatus bairdii (prairie deer mouse). RNAcentral describes it as "HOXA transcript at the distal tip, conserved region 2 (ENSPEMG00000006377.2)". It matches the Rfam family "HOXA transcript at the distal tip, conserved region 2". The record is from RNAcentral. Lineage: Eukaryota; Metazoa; Chordata; Mammalia; Rodentia; Cricetidae.
AGUGCGUCCUUUCUCUCCUGACUUUUUAGCAGUCCUGGGUAAAUAUUGGUUUGCCCCCAGUUUACCUUUUCACUGACUGGCCAUUUGCAGACUAAGGAACAAACCUCUGGGAAGACUUGAUUUUUGUGUUCCUUUGGAGCCCUAUUCAUCCUUCCCGUUGACUCCUUCCUCCCUCUAAGUGGUAUUGUAAAACUCCACGGUGACAAAGAGACCAAGUAGGGUUCCAGGCUCCAGUCCUCGCAGACUUGAGGGCUUGAGGGCAGUUUACAUACAGGUCAGACGCGGCUGGAGGCCAAGGUCAAGUUGAAAGUUGCUGUCUAGUCAGCGUGAGAAACCUCAAUGAAAGCCUGGGGUCUGGGGGCAGCAGGGAGGCCGACCGCCCACCUCCCCUCA